AAUAAACAAUGUAUAUUCACUUUUACUACCAACCAAUCUUUACCAUUCAGUGAUAACAAGCACUUUAUUUUACAUUUUAAUAUUUUAUGAUGUAUUUAAAAGAGUAGUUAUUGUUGCAAACUCCAUUAGAAAUUUGAAUUGAUAUCAGUUUUGGAAAAAGGGAAACGGGGAUGUGAAAAAAAAAUGGGGGGGGGGGGGGGGGGGGGGUUAAAUUUUUCUCAUUUCAGAUUUCAUAAAUAAAAAGAAAAUUUCUUCAAACAUUUUUUUUAGAGGAUUAAUAUUCAACAGCAUAGUGAAUUGCUCAAAGGCAAAAAAAAAUUUUUAAGUUCAUAAGACC
This 337-nucleotide long non-coding RNA is filed under the name Mytilus galloprovincialis (Mediterranean mussel). Lineage: Eukaryota; Metazoa; Mollusca; Bivalvia; Mytilida; Mytilidae. The record is from RNAcentral.